Molecule: transfer RNA, 70 nt
Filed under: Loxodonta africana (African savanna elephant)
Lineage: Eukaryota; Metazoa; Chordata; Mammalia; Proboscidea; Elephantidae
Rfam family: tRNA
About the family: Transfer RNA (tRNA) molecules are approximately 80 nucleotides in length. Their secondary structure includes four short double-helical elements and three loops (D, anti-codon, and T loops).
Source: Rfam by way of RNAcentral
GCCUUGGGGUUCAGUGGUAGAAUUCUUGCCUUUGAUGCAGGAGACCUGGGUCAGAUUUCCAGCCACUGCA